Molecule: long non-coding RNA, 754 nt
Filed under: Marmota monax (woodchuck)
Lineage: Eukaryota; Metazoa; Chordata; Mammalia; Rodentia; Sciuridae
Source: RNAcentral
GCCACUUCCUUUGAAACUCCCUUUUCACUACCUUCAAACUUAACCAGCUUUUCACCUGGAACAAUAUGGCAAAAUAUAAGGAGUGAUUUUCCACCAAGUCCAGAGAGGCAGGGCUACUCCUCUGUUUGUUAUAGUCAGCCCAGCAGAUCCCCCCUAAGUCCUCCUGGUCCCUUCAAAACAGGAAAAAGAGAAGGAGAAAGAAGGUGGAUCCAAUGUUCCCAUGGGGAUGGCAGGCAGGUUCCACCCACCUUAGAUCCCUCCCCCCAUACUGAAGAACCUCCCAGGCUUAUGGGGCCACAGCUAGAGCAUAAAUAGGACCCCACCUCGGCCCUCCUGCCCUAACUCCCCAGUUUUCCCAGUGGGGUCCUUGAGGGUCUGUGUAGGUUCAUCCCAACAGGCGUGCCUGAGCUCCAUGCAUGCCCCUAACCCAGAGGAGCCCAGCCUGUGUGGGCCUUGGAUCAGGACCUUGGGGAAGGUAUUCCUGAGUCCCAGGAAUCCCCUGGGGAUGAGCAGAGGCUGGGGCCUGGCUUCCAGAUGGGCUGGUCCUCUUGGACCUUCAGACUCCUUACCCCAGAAAGGACGGCCAGGACGGGGGCCAGGGCCAGAGAACACAGUCCCUCCUCACUCCAAGAGGCAGCCUCUGUCCACCGCCUCACCUUCAAAGCAGAGCAGGUGGCACCAUCACUGGUGGCCCCAGGGACUUCUCUAGGUAAGAAGAAGCACAGGCACCACUGACAACCCCAGGGCUGGGGGA